This is a long non-coding RNA of Malaya genurostris, 1350 nucleotides long. RefSeq lists it as uncharacterized. NCBI's taxonomy places the organism in Eukaryota, Metazoa, Arthropoda, Insecta, Diptera, Culicidae. The record is from RefSeq and is a predicted model, not a curated record. The transcript is spliced from 3 exons.
GUUAAUGAUUUAUGAAAGCACGCCUAGCAGUAGGCCAUGCCAACGUUGCCGGAAGCUUGAAGUUGGAAGCACGGCACGCAACGCGCAUAGCAUUAUAUUGACAUCAUCGAUCGCGGUGAGAACUCGUCAACAAUCUAGAAUCGGUUUUUCUUUAAAUUCAAUCUUCGGCCUACUGUUUGUCAGUCUGUCUGUACUUCAUCACGUGGCAGAAAGUUAUUCGCGACUACGAAGUUGAGUUUGACAGCUUAUGUGUGUGAAGUGGAAGUAAACAAGCAAAAGAAAAAAGUGAUAAAUUUUCAAACGUACCGUUUUCUUCGAUUUCAGUUUUGCUGUUUGAAAUGGAGCCUUCAAAAGGUGUUACGUGCACUGUGUUGAUGAACUUGUCGGAAGUUUUUAGCUACGCUGCCGGAGGAAUCCGUUCGGAUAGUUGGAGUAGAUGAGAUCUAUAAUGAUGGAUUUGUAUUAUUUUCGAUUUGUCUACGGUCAUCCUCCAAGUGUCGAGCCGCACACAAUAAAAGUUUUCACUAGCAGUGAACGCUCUGCUUGGUUAUUUGCAUGUACUUGCAAAACUAGUGAAUGAAAAUGCAAACAUGUGAUGGCUGUUUUGAAUCAUUGACUGAGGAACUCGACUCAAUAGAACGAUUAACAUCCAACGAGAUUAAAACGAGCGGCGGUCGGAUAUUCCGAACCGAUAACAUCAUGUUUGAAGGACAUUUGGCAUUUGUUCAUUAAGUAUAUUUUAUUGUCAGAUGAAUAAAUUUAAUAAAUACAUAAAUAUAUAAGUUUACAAAUUGACGACACGCAUUGAACGACAAUCGAUAAAAUUACAGCUCAACUCCUUAGUAGGGACAGAAAGCAGCGGGUACAGAAGAAGUCCUCAGAAUUACUCGCAUAGUUGGACGGUUCAAACCUGAGAACAGAAUACGAAUUACAGUUGUGAGAAUGUGAGCUUGAACAAUAUUCAAUACUUACUGGGGGGAACACAAUUAUUUGCCAGAGAAAUGUAAAUUGCACCCAAGUAGUUUACGUUGACUCGAUUCUGAAUCAUUGAAUCCAUGUUAUUUAUCGUUCAUUUUACUUGUUUGGGAAGGAUUGAAUCGAUAUACUAAAUCUGAAACAUAACACACUGUUCUCAUCAGAAUUACAAACACUGUCAUGAAAUGUUUUUGCAAGCCCAUUCGAGCAACUUUUCAGAUCCAUGACCUACAAUAUUCAAAGAAAAAAAUUCUAAAUAAAUCUCAAUUACCUUCCUCUGUAUUGUAAUGCACUGGAUUGCCGCAUUAAAAUAACUAAAAAUAGUUGUUUGAUCACAAAUUUCAAAUAUUGUCUUACCUAUGCGGAUUACUAGUG